Apis cerana (Asiatic honeybee) is the source of this 3035-nucleotide RNA transcript. It is a transcript of the gene named coiled-coil domain-containing protein 102A, with no coding region annotated. The record is from RefSeq and is a predicted model, not a curated record. NCBI's taxonomy places the organism in Eukaryota, Metazoa, Arthropoda, Insecta, Hymenoptera, Apidae.
CUGUCAAGUUUGUGGAGAGAAAGAAUACAUAUAUUUAUUCUAUCUCUCGAAAUAUCUAUAGAUAUAUAUACAUGGGUAUGUUUAUAUAUAGAUAUAUAUAGAUAAUACAAAUGUCAAUUCAGAAUCUGAAGUUCAGAUGAAUAUGUGAUAUAAUAUAAAGAUUAAAAUUAUAUAAAAAUUAUAUUUAGAUUGCUAUAAUUAUAAAUAUGAUAUGAAUAAAAAAGAUAAUGAAUAUAAAAGAUAGUAGAAUCGUUUAUAAGUUUGCAAAGUGAUCCAAUUCAAGAAGAAAUAAAUUACGUUUAAUAUAUAUUCAUUUAUAAAAAACAGCAUUUUAGGUUAUCAUGGCACAAUCAACAACUAGUGGAACAUCUUCUCGACGAUAUAUGAGAGAACAUGAUGUUAAUGUACCAUCUUCAUCACGUUAUGUGGAUAGUGAAUGGGAAACAAAAGAGGCUUUACGACAAAGAGAACUUGAGGAAGCAAGAGCACGAGCUGCACAGAUGGAAAAAACAAUGAGAUGGUGGUCAGAUUGUACUGCAAAUUGGCGUGAAAAAUGGAGUAAAGUACGUAAUGAAAGAAAUAUGGCAAGAGAAGAAGCAAAGAUGCUUAGAGCAAAAUUAGAAAUUGCUGUAAAAGAUGCAAAUAGUUAUAAACAUGAAUGUCAGGAACUUGAAUUACAAAAUGAGCAGUUAAAAAAAGAAAUGGAAAAAAUACAUAUGAUAUUAUUAAAACAUGCUGGACAAUUUGAUCAACAAAUUUUUACAGUUUUAGAAUCAGAUCCACAAUUAAGAAAUACAUUAGAUAUUAACGAAUUAUUGAAAUUUUAUAAUAAUGUAGAACAGAGUGAAAGUGUAAAUUCCCAAAAAGAUUUACUUUCUUGUAAAGUUUCACUUGAUGAAUCUAAUGUUUGUUUAGGAAGUCAUAAUAUUUUACCAGAUAGAGAUAUUGAAGAAUAUGUAUUACAAGGUGCAGUGCCAAAGCAUGCUGUAGAAAUAUAUAAAGAUAGUUCCCUUUAUUCAUUAGAUAAAGAUAUUGUGAGAUUAGUUGAUUCUAAUUCUACAGAAAAUUUAGAGAAAAACCAGUCUUCAUUACAAACAUGUACAGAUGAAUCUUAUGUACAAAAAAUAUUAUUGCUUCAACAUAAAUUGGAUGAAGCUGCAAAAACUAUAUCUACAGAAAGAGAAGAAAAAAAUUCAUUACAUCAUGGUAUGGAGAAAUUAAAAGCAGAAAUAAUGCAAUUAAGAAAACAGUGUGAGGAAUUAGAGGAAAGUAAAACUGAAAUUACAAGAGAAUUACUUGAAUUGAAAGAUCGAUUUCAAAUUGAAUUUAGUGAUGUUCAAGCUGGUAUAAUUGAUGAAGCUUCAAGUAGAGAAGGAAUGAAUCGUCGUUUGUGUGAACUUAGAGCAGAAUUAGAAAGACUUCAAGCAGAAAAUGCAGCCGAAUGGGGAAAACGAGAACGUUUAGAAACAGAAAAAAUUUCUUUAGAACGUGAAAACAAACAACUUCGUAACGAAUUAAAUGAUUUGCAAGAAAGGAUAGAAUCUCGACGAUCACGUCCUGUUUCCACUUCAGAUAAUGAUGCAAGACAAUUGCAACAAGAAUUUUUAGUUAGGAAUGUGACAAUAUUAAAAAAAUCUUUGGAAGAAAAAACAACAGAACUUUCACAUGCCAUGAGAAGAUCAGAACAAUAUGAAGCAGAAGUAAAAAGAGUUAGAGCAAGAGUAGAAGAAUUGAAAAAAGAAUUAGCAGCAGUUCAAGAUGAAGUAGAUGCUGCAACCAACAGUGUUCGUAAAUUGCAACGAGCAAAUGAAGAUCUUUUAGAACAAUUAGAAUCAGCUAAUGUACAAUUGGAACAUUUUCGAAAUAAAAUUGUUACUGACAAUUAAUUUGUUAUCAGUACUGAUUCUUACACAGUUGGUGUAGGAACAGAAGAAACUCUUGAAGAAAAAUUAUAUACAACUAAUAAUAGUAAAUUAACAAAUGAGUUUGAGCAAGCCUAGUAUUUAAUUAUUUUAAUAAUCAUAUUAAAUUAAUUUGACUAAUGAUAAAUGAAAUUUGGAAUGUGAAAAAUAAUUUUUUUUUACAUUUUCUAAAAUAUAUACAUCAAUUGAUGUAGCAAUAUUUUUGAAUUAUAUAAAAUCUUAUUAAAUGUAUAAGUAGAAUAAUUAAUAACUGAACUUAAAUAAUGAAAAGUUAUUAUUUCAGUAUUGUAUUAUUAUUUAAAUUAUAUUUAUAUAUCAUUUUCUUUUUUUUUAUUAAUUUUACAUAUAACUAUGUAUAUAAUUUUUUUCUAAUUUUUUAUAAUAUAAAAAGAUUAAUAUUUUUAUGAAAGAUUUUUUGUAAAUAUUUAAAAUUUUUUUAUUUGUAAAAACUCACAUUCCAAUGUAUUAUGUUUUAAAUAUUAUUAUUUUAUGUAUAUAAAUAAUGUAUAUAAUUUAAAUCAUAAAUGUAAUUUCAAAUUUUGCCUCUUACCUAAAGACUGGUGAAGUUAGAUAAUGGAAGAUUAUAUGUAUUGUCUAUGAUACCUGAUAUUUAUACUUAUUAUUUUUGUGUUAACAAAUAAGAUCUAAAAAAUCGUGAAUGUAUGUAUAUCUAUAUUAUGUAGAAAAUAUUUUUAUUUUAAAAACUAUUUAAAUUUAUAUUUGAUUGUAAUGAAUUUAGAAAAAAAUGUAUUCAAUACAUAUUUAUAUUGAUAUAUAAUUCAUAUCUAAAAACAAAUAGAAAGUAGAAUCUUUUAUUUGUUUAAUAAUGUUUUAUUGAUAAAAAAGUAUAAAUAUUAAAAAUUGCUGUAACAUUAAAUUUUUAAUAAUAUACAUUCAAUACAAAUACCUCAAUAAAAAAUGAUAUGUAAUAUGUGUAUAUGUAAAAGAAAUAUUAUAAUAUGGUUACAUUCAUACGAUAUGAAUGAUCAUAAAUAUUGAUGUAAAGAUAAACAAAAAAAAUAAUCUAAGUUGUAAUAAAAAAAAUAUUUCUAAUAUUAAUAAAAUAUAAAAUAAUCUAUAAAUAAAAUUAAGUUUUUGUAAAUAAUAUAAAAA